UACGAAGGGGGCUAGCGUUGCUCGGAAUUACUGGGCGUAAAGCGCACGUAAGCGGUCUUUUAAGUCGGGGGUGAAAUCCUGGAGCUCAACUCCAGAACUGCCUUCGAUACUGGAAGACUUGAGUCCGGGAGAGGUGAGUGGAACUGCGAGUGUAGAGGUGAAAUUCGUAGAUAUUCGCAAGAACACCAGUGGCGAAGGCGGCUCACUGGCCCGGUACUGACGCUGAGGUGCGAAAGCGUGGGGAGCAAACAGG
RNAcentral lists this ribosomal RNA (253 nucleotides) under uncultured bacterium. Its description in RNAcentral is "partial 16S ribosomal RNA". It matches the Rfam family "Bacterial small subunit ribosomal RNA", at positions 524 to 776 of the family's 1533-position model. The record is from RNAcentral.